CUGAAAUGACUCUAACCUUCGUGGACUCCAGUCC
This 34-nucleotide small RNA is filed under the name Bombyx mori (domestic silkworm). Its description in RNAcentral is "ovarian small RNA-14830". Lineage: Eukaryota; Metazoa; Arthropoda; Insecta; Lepidoptera; Bombycidae. The record is from RNAcentral.